RNAcentral lists this ribosomal RNA (253 nucleotides) under uncultured bacterium. RNAcentral describes it as "partial 16S ribosomal RNA". It matches the Rfam family "Bacterial small subunit ribosomal RNA", at positions 524 to 776 of the family's 1533-position model. The record is from RNAcentral.
UACGGGGGGGGCAAGCGUUGUUCGGAAUUACUGGGCGUAAAGGGCGCGUAGGCGGUUCGAUAAGUCAGCUGUGAAAACCAUGGGCUUAACUCAUGGCCUGCAGUUGAGACUGUCGGGCUGGAGUGUGGGAGAGGAGAGUGGAAUUCCUGGUGUAGCGGUGAAAUGCGUAGAUAUCAGGAGGAACACCGGUGGCGAAGGCGGUUCUCUGGGAGUGUUCUGACGCUGAGGAGCGAAAGUGUGGGGAGCGAACAGG